This 465-nucleotide ribosomal RNA is filed under the name uncultured bacterium. RNAcentral's name for it is "bacterial SSU rRNA". It matches the Rfam family "Bacterial small subunit ribosomal RNA", at positions 29 to 513 of the family's 1533-position model. The record is from RNAcentral.
AACGAACGCUGGCGGCAGGCCUAACACAUGCAAGUCGAGCGAGGACUUCGGUCCUAGCGGCGGACGGGUGAGUAACGCGUGGGAACGUGCCCUUUGCUUCGGAAUAGCCCUGGGAAACUGGGAGUAAUACCGAAUGUGCCCUUUGGGGGAAAGAUUUAUCGGCAAAGGAUCGGCCCGCGUUGGAUUAGGUAGUUGGUGGGGGUAAUGGCCUACCAAGCCGACGAUCCAUAGCUGGUUUGAGAGGAUGAUCAGCCACACUGGGACUGAGACACGGCCCAGACUCCUACGGGAGGCAGCAGUGGGGAAUAUUGGACAAUGGGCGCAAGCCUGAUCCAGCAAUGCCGCGUGUGUGAAGAAGGCCUGCGGGUUGUAAAGCACUUUCAGUGGGGAAGAACGGAUACGGGCCAAUACCCCGCAUCACUGACGUUACCCACAGAAGAAGCACCGGCUAACUCCGUGCCAGCA